CUACGGAGGGUGCAAGCGUUGUUCGGAUUUAUUGGGCGUAAAGCGAGUGUAGGCGGUUUGACAAGUCGAAUGUGAAAUCCCGAGGCCCAACCUCGGAACUGCAUCCGAAACUGUCAGGCUAGAGUCCCGGAGAGGAUGGCGGAAUUCCCGGUGUAGGGGUGAAAUCCGUAGAUAUCGGGAGGAACACCAGUGGCGAAGGCGGCCAUCUGGACGGUGCCUGACGCUGAGACUCGAAAGUGUGGGUAGCAAACAGGAUUAGAAACCCUUGUAGUCC
This 274-nucleotide ribosomal RNA is filed under the name uncultured bacterium. Its description in RNAcentral is "partial 16S ribosomal RNA". It matches the Rfam family "Bacterial small subunit ribosomal RNA", at positions 523 to 796 of the family's 1533-position model. The record is from RNAcentral.